Molecule: ribosomal RNA, 253 nt
Filed under: uncultured bacterium
Lineage: Bacteria
Description: partial 16S ribosomal RNA
Rfam family: Bacterial small subunit ribosomal RNA
Source: RNAcentral
UACGAAGGGGGCUAGCGCUGCUCGGAAUCACUGGGCGUAAAGGGUGCGUAGGCGGGUCUUUAAGUCAGGGGUGAAAUCCUGGAGCUCAACUCCAGAACUGCCUUUGAUACUGAGGAUCUUGAGUCCGGGAGAGGCGAGUGGAACUGCGAGUGUAGAGGUGAAAUUCGUAGAUAUUCGCAAGAACACCAGUGGCGAAGGCGGCUCACUGGCCCGGAACUGACGCUGAGGUGCGAAAGCGUGGGGAGCAAACAGG